RNAcentral lists this long non-coding RNA (1650 nucleotides) under Schizosaccharomyces pombe (fission yeast). Lineage: Eukaryota; Fungi; Ascomycota; Schizosaccharomycetes; Schizosaccharomycetales; Schizosaccharomycetaceae. The record is from RNAcentral.
AUUUGUUUCUGUACAUUGUUCUCUGUAAAGUACAAAGGGCGAGCUGAAGGGGUCGACGACAAGGAUGAAAAAAAAGAACAAAACAUUAUCCAGGUAAAAAUUUUGAAGAGGGGAGUAAUCUUUUUUAUUCCGGUUAUUAAAACCAAAUUAAUUUCGGUACUGAAAAGUAAAUUGGUAAGGGGAAGAUGAAAGAGUGUAGCAUAUAUGCGUGAGCGAUUUGAGCAUUAUUGUCUAGCAAAUAAAAAAUUUUUAUUUCUUAUUUUCUUUGUGAAGCCAAGGCAUAUUACACGUAAGACUUCCUAGUGGGACGAACGUAACUCACAUUUUUAGGACGACAAAGGACAACCAGAAAAUUGAGCCAUAUGCUGUCAUGAAAAGGAUGUACAUCUUCAGUUUCUGUACUCUUUGCUCGUAAGUAUUCAUGAACAUUCUGACCAACAGAUAUUAAAUAGCACUGGUAACAGAAAAGGAUGCCAGGAAGUAUUGCUCCAAGUGCCCCAUAAAUGCCAAGGAAGAAAGAUACGCCAGCCCAUGGACGACGAAGAUGCGCCGCAAAAUUUGUAUCUGUGGAUUCAUGAAAACUUCCUAUAGAAGUAUAGAACCCCAAUCCAGUUAGAUACAAAGCUGAAAGAACGACAGAUAACAAAAAAAUAAAAUAAUAUCUGUAGUUUCGACGACCAAUGCAAGUGUUUAACCAAAUGCAGUGAUGAUCAAGGUAUUCAACACAAUUAUCACAUAAAUGACAAUGGCUUGCACGUGGAGGACGAUAUAAGUGGCACGUAUGGCAAUAAACUGUAUUAACAAAGACAGAGUCAGACCGAGUGGAUCCAACAAGGACUUUACGGUCUUCAGGAAUUACAGACCAGGGAUGGGCAGGGUUAUAAGUUAAAGAAUAUGCAUUUCUAGGAAGAAUUCCUGGAUCAGCAGUCGAGCACUUGAACAUGGAAACAACGGCUAAGGCAUACAGGUAAGCAAAGGUAAUAGGGACAGCGGGAGAGACAUGAUGCCAGAGCCAAAAAGCAGAAAAGAUGAAGAAAAGGACUCCUGGAAGAAUCAAGGCAAACAAGCUAAUGAGGAAAGCUUUGUACUGAGAUGACAUUUGCAAUCGACCACAACAUAAAUAGAUAUUGUUUCCUGGUAAAUUCUUAUAUCGGCUUUCAAUAUGCGGUACUUCCGGAACAUCAUCAGGAACGGAUUGAAAUCUAUAAGGAAUUUGGUUCUUUUCUUCCAAAUUCAUGGGAUACGUUGGAUCAGACAAAGUCACCUCAAAUGGAUUCCAUGGCUGAUUCCACGCGUAGCGGGAUGCCUUAGCAUCACUGUGUUUCUCAUAGCUCAUGAUUAUAUUCUCUAAACAACAAACAUGGCAAAGAAACAGCUAUUUUUACACCUGGUAUUAUAUCUUGUAGUUUUGUUGUCGGUAAGGAUAUGAACCCCUUUUGCGAUGGAGGGUGAAGUAAAUAUUAGCAUCCGCCAAAGUUUGUUUACUAAGCAAAUAAAGAAAUCAAAAUAAAUAAACAAUUAGAGAAUGUGACUCUAAUAACUAAUAUUUGGAAUGGCGCCUAUUUAAUCGAUGAGAGUGUAUUAAAAAGAGAAGGGAAAUAAAAACAGAAUAUGAAAUGAAAUGCUAAAAAAAAAAAUACUAACCGAAGA